GACGAACGCUGGCGGCGUGCUUAACACAUGCAAGUCGAACGGAAAGGCCCUGCUUUUGUGGGGUGCUCGAGUGGCGAACGGGUGAGUAACACGUGAGUAACCUGCCCUUGACUUUGGGAUAACUUCAGGAAACUGGGGCUAAUACCGGAUAGGAGCUCCUGCUGCAUGGUGGGGGUUGGAAAGUUUCGGCGGUUGGGGCUGGACUCGCGGCUUAUCAGCUUGUUGGUGGGGUAGUGGUUUACCAAGGCUUUGACGGGUAGCCGGCCUGAGAGGGUGACCGGCCACAUUGGGACUGAGAUACGGCCCAGACUCCUACGGGAGGCAGCAGUGGGGAAUAUUGCACAAUGGGCGGAAGCCUGAUGCAGCAACGCCGCGUGCGGGAUGACGGCCUUCGGGUUGUAAACCGCUUUCGCCUGUGACGAAGCGUGAGUGACGGUAAUGGGUAAAGAAGCACCGGCUAACUACGUG
RNAcentral lists this ribosomal RNA (468 nucleotides) under uncultured bacterium. RNAcentral's name for it is "partial 16S ribosomal RNA". It matches the Rfam family "Bacterial small subunit ribosomal RNA", at positions 28 to 507 of the family's 1533-position model. The record is from RNAcentral.